Molecule: ribosomal RNA, 966 nt
Filed under: Triticum aestivum (bread wheat)
Lineage: Eukaryota; Viridiplantae; Streptophyta; Magnoliopsida; Poales; Poaceae
Description: partial small subunit ribosomal RNA
Source: RNAcentral
AUGCCCCUAAAGUUUUGGGAUGAAGCUUUCAUUGCUGCUACAUAUCUGAUCAACCAUCUACCUAAUAAAGUUAUCAACUUUGAAACCCCUCUUGAACGAUUAUAUCAUGAAAAGCCCAACUAUUCAGCCCUUAGAAUUUUUGGUUGCACUUGUUGGCCUAAUCUUCGUCCAUAUAAUAAUCACAAGCUCCAAUUCCGAUCCAAGCAAUGCGCUUUUCUCGGGUAUAGUAAUCUUCAUAAAGGUUUCAAGUGUCUUGAUAUCUCUACAAGACGUGUUUACAUUUCAAGGGAUGUAGUUUUUGAUGAAAAUGUCUUUCCUUUCUCCACUCUACAUCCUAAUGCCGGAGCCAGAUUACGUUCUGAAAUCCUUCUGUUGCCUCCAGAACUCUUGAACCCAACUGAUCAAGGGGGUGAAAAUAGUACUAAUGAUCAUUUGUGUGAUAGCCUUACUAAUGAUGGUGGCAGCAGUAAAAAAAACGCAGCCCCAAACCGUGAUUUUAUGCAGCAACACGUCCUUGCUCAGCCAGGCGCAGGACACGAGGUGGAUCCGCCUGCUGGCGCUGAUCCCGAUGGUUUUGGCGCGGAAAAUGAUCCCGAGGUGGAUCUGGUGGCGCCACAGACGCCGCCUCCUCCAGAUUCUGUGGCAGGCUGCUCAGCAAACGACACAUCACCUAGGUCAGGCCUCCAGUCGGGUGGCGCGAUGGAUUCCUCGUCCCCGCGUGACAGUUGUCGCGUGCCGAGUGGGGGAAGGGCCCCUGUCGCCCGAGGCAAUGAUGGUGGUCACCCUGUGGACCACACGAUGUCGCUGUGCAGCGGGCCGCCUUCACCAAGCCCACAGGCGCGGCAUCUGGGCCAGCCCAGGCGCACGACAGUCGAGGGAGAUUCACCUGCGGCUGAUCGGUCUGCUCCAGUACGAGGUAGCGGAUCGGGGUCUUCUGCGCCAUCGACUCUGCACCACAGCGUGUAA